GCGGAGGCGCGAAGGAGUUACCUGGGCCCGCGGCGCCCCGCCCUUUCUCCUGCCCGGCACAUGUCUCUGGGGAGCUUCCAUCCCUCUCCUGCUGCUAUUCCCCUGGAACCGGUACUUGGAGCCAAGCUGGAGAAUCCCGUGUAGAAACAUUACAUUCCCACCAGCACGAGCCAAGAAUUGAAAGGGACCCCUAAUCAUUCAAUUCAACGUGGACA
Non-coding RNA from Python bivittatus (Burmese python), 215 nucleotides. NCBI's taxonomy places the organism in Eukaryota, Metazoa, Chordata, Lepidosauria, Squamata, Pythonidae. The record is from RefSeq and is a predicted model, not a curated record.